RNAcentral lists this ribosomal RNA (253 nucleotides) under uncultured bacterium. Its description in RNAcentral is "partial 16S ribosomal RNA". It matches the Rfam family "Bacterial small subunit ribosomal RNA", at positions 524 to 776 of the family's 1533-position model. The record is from RNAcentral.
GACGAAGGUGGCGAGCGUUACUCGGAAUUACUAGGCGUAAAGCGUGGGCAGGCGGUUCGUAAAGUCUGUUGUGAAAGCUCCCGGCUCAACUGGGAGAGGCCAAUGGAUACUCACGGACUUGAAUUGGGGAGGGGUCACUGGAAUUCCUGGUGUAGCGGUGAAAUGCGUAGAGAUCAGGAGGAACACCAAUGGCGAAGGCAGGUGACUAGACCCAUAUUGACGCUCAUCCACGAAAGCUGGGGGAUCAAACAGG